This 254-nucleotide ribosomal RNA is filed under the name uncultured bacterium. Its description in RNAcentral is "partial 16S ribosomal RNA". It matches the Rfam family "Bacterial small subunit ribosomal RNA", at positions 524 to 776 of the family's 1533-position model. The record is from RNAcentral.
UACGGAGGGUGCGAGCGUUGUCCGGAAUCACUGGGCGUAAAGGGCGCGUAGGCGGCGGCGUAAGUUGGAAGUGAAAUCCCAUCGGCUCAACCGUGGAAUUGCUCCCAGUACUGCGUCGCUCGAGGGGGAUAGGGGUCUGCGGAACUACCGGUGGAGCGGUGAAAUGUGUUGAUAUCGGUGGGAACGCCAGUGGCGAAAGCGGCAGACUUGACCCUUCCUGACGCUGAGGCGCGAAAGCUAGGGGAGCAAACGGG